GCCAGACUCCUACGGGAGGCAGCAGUGGGGGAUAUUGCACAAUGGGGGGAACCCUGAUGCAGCGACGCUGCGUGGGUGAAGGAGCGUUUCGGCGCGUAAAGCCCUAUCGGCAGGGAAGAAGGAGGACGGUACCUGACUAAGAAGCCCCGGCUAACUACGUGCCAGCAGCCGCGGUAAUACGUAGGGGGCGAGCGUUAUCCGGAUUUACUGGGUGUAAAGGGAGCGUAGACGGUUAAUCAAGUCUGAAGUGAAAGCCCGCGGCUCAACUGCGGAACGGCUUUGGAAACUGAGUAACUGGAGUGCUGGAGGGGCAGGCGGAAUUCCUGGUGUAGCGGUGAAAUGCGUAGAUAUCAGGAGGAACACCGGUGGCGAAGGCGGCCUGCUGGACUGCAACUGACGUUGAGGCCCGAAAGCGUGGGGAGCAAACAGGAUUAGAUACCCUCGUAU
RNAcentral lists this ribosomal RNA (447 nucleotides) under uncultured bacterium. RNAcentral's name for it is "partial 16S ribosomal RNA". It matches the Rfam family "Bacterial small subunit ribosomal RNA", at positions 330 to 793 of the family's 1533-position model. The record is from RNAcentral.